AACGGCCCCUCCCGGCCCUGGGGCGCACGGGCCCCUCCCUCACCCUCCGCGGCCCCACCUCCUUCCUGUCACCUCUGCCCCGCCCCCAGUCACGUGAGGCCCGGCGACAGCGGCCGAGGCUUCCCAGGACCGGGCUGGCCCGCGAGGGAAACUGAGGCCCGGGAUCCCGACGGGGUGGAGGGGGGGAAGCUCAGGGUCCCGGCGGCCGCGCUGGGCCUGAAGCCCCCAUAGGAACGGAGCCAGGUGCCCUGGGGCCGCUCGCCCGCUGGCUCGGCGUGGGUCCUUUCCCAGUCUCGCUGGUCGGGUUUUGGCUGCUGUUCGCCCCACACCUCGUGCGCCACCAGGUCCCCGCCUUCGCGCUACCCUCAGUGCCCUUGAGACAUUCAGGAUUGGUGGUUCAGUGAUAGAAUUCUCACCUUCGACGUGGGAGACCCAGGUUCCUCAGACAUCUCAAAUUCAACAUGUGCAAGACUACACUCGCCUGCCUCAUUCAUCUCCAGUUAUGUGAAUGGCAACUCCUUGGUUCCUCUUGCUCAGGCCAAAAACCUUGGCAUCAUCCUUGACUUCCAUCUUUCUUACUCCAUAUCCAAGCCAUCAGAAAACACUGCCGUUCUACCUUCAAAUUAUAUCUGAAAUCCAACCACUUCUCAUCACUCCCACCCCAAACAACCUGAUCCAGGCCACUGUCAUCUUUCCCCUGGAUAGAUGCACCAACCUCCUAAUGGUGUCCCAGCUUCUGAUCUUGUCCCUCUACAAUCUCUUCUCAACAUUGCAGCCAAAACGAUCCUUUCCAAAUGGAAGACAGACCAUGUCAACGUCUCUGACUGAAAACCUCCAUUUUCUCAGAAUAAAAGUCAAAACAUUUUCAGUUGUCAAAAAGUUCUUCAUUAUCAUCCCCUGCCCCCGCUCGCCCCACUGACAGCUUCUACUACACAAUAGGAUGCAUAUUGUUUAUUUAACACCCCGUGGCAUUUGCUCUUGCAAUUCACCCCAUGGCGUUUGCUCUUGCAGUUCCCGUUGCCUGGAAUACUUAUCCCCUAAAUACCAGCUGCUCCACAGGAGGAAACACCUGGCAAUCAGCUCCCAUAAAGAUUCUGACCCAUUGCCAUCAGUCCAUUCCAACUCAUAACAGCCCUAUAGGACAGAGUAGAACUGCCCCAUGGGGUUUCCAAGGAGCAGCUGGUGGAUUUGAACCACUGACCUUUUGGUUAGCAGCUGAGUUCUUAAUCACUGCACUACCAAAACAAACAAACAAGAAAACAACAAAAAAAAAACAUUGCCAUUGAGUCGGUUCUGACUCAUAGUGACCUUAUAGCCACCAAGGCCUCCCAUAAAGAUUACAGCCUAGGAAACCCUAUGGGGGCUGCUCUGUCCUAUAGGGUCACUGUGAAUUCAAAUCGACUAGAAAGCACACGACAAAAAAUACAACCAGGAGUCCCUGGGUGGUGCAAACUGUUAAUGUGCUCAACUGCUAACUGAAACACUGGAGGCCUGAGUCCACCCAGAGACUCCUCAGAAGACAGUCCUGGUGAUUAGUUCCCAAACAUCAGCCAUGGAAAACCCUGUGGAGCACAGUCCUAUUCUGACACACGUGGGGUCACCAUGAAUCAGAACCGACUCACUGGCAGCUGGAUCAAUACCAGCAGGGCUCACUCUCAUUUCUUUAAUGUCUCUCACUUCUUUCAGGUCUCUGUUCAAGGCCAUUUCCUUAGGGGUGUCUUCCCUGACUGCCAUUGUAAGUUAGCAAUCCCCUUUAUUCCCCUUCCCAAGCUCCCUAUUCCUCUUCCGCUGUUGGAUUUUUCUCCUUCUGGCACCCUGUGUACUUAAAUUGUUUAUCUGUCCUCCCCAUUAGACCACAAGUUCCAUGAAAGAACAUCAUUUCGUUCACUGCUGCAUCCUUCAUGCUUAGAACAAUGCCUGACACAAAGUAGGCACUCAGUAGUUGCCAAGUACAUAAUCAGAAGGAAACUGGACUCCACAGGGCAAGACUCUCCGUUUUAGUAAGCCAGAGUCAGAACUCCAGGCUCUAGGAACUGGGGUAUUUAAGAAAGACAUUGAAACAUAGGAGUUGAUUACAGGAGCUUGAUAAAAAAGAUGGAGUCAGGAGUCCAACUCUUAGAAACAGAACAGGUUCAGGCAGGAUGGCAAUAAGACCCAGGUGAUACUGAGCCUCUCAGCUACUGGUUUCUUAUUGUUGCACAGCCUGUAAGUAUAACUGACCCCAGAGAAUGGGAAUGGGUAAAGCCUUUACAUAGGAAAUUAUUAGGCAUGCCUUAGAAAAUAGAAAUGCAGGUCCAUCCUGAUACUGUCUAACUUUAGGAUGCUUUAUUAACACAGCAGCCCAGAGUAGUACCAUCCUCAAUUACUUCUUAUUCUUCUACUUUCCUAAACAUUCCUUCAUAAUCUCCCCCAUGACCUUCUUCCUCUCAGUGUAUCCCUUACAUUUUGGAGCUUCUUAACCUGUUGCUGUCGAGUCAGCUCUGACUCAUGGCAACCCGAUAUGUGACAGAGUAUAACUACGCUUCAUAGGCUUUUCAAUGGAUGACUUUUUGGAAGUAGAUUGCCAGGCCUUUCUUCCGAGGCACCCCGAGGGGACUUGAACCUCCAGCCUUCUGGGUAGCAGCUAAGAGUACUAACCUUUGUACCACCCAGCUUCUUAGGCUUAUAUUAUUUGCCCUCUUCUCUAUUUCUACACACUAUUUCUAGAUGACCUUAUUCACUAUCAUGUUUUCAACUAUCAUCUAUAUGCUAAUGUUUUCCAAAUCCAUCUCUAGUCCCGAGAUCCAAACUCAUAUUUCCAACUGCCUAUUAAAUAGCUAGACCUGGGUGUCCCUCAGACACUUCAACUCAAUAUGUCCGUACCUGAAGUUACCGUCUUCCCCCGAACCUGCUCUUCUUCCUUAGCACUUUAUCUGAGCUAAUGGCCUCAUCACACACCAGUUUCUCAAGCUAGAAACAUGAGUCAUCCCCUUCCUCCUUCUCUUUUGCCAUCCAAGUACAAUUGGUUACUAAAUCAAGUCAAUCCUACUCCAGAAUGUUUGCUCAAAUGUGGUGUCUUCAAUCCUUCUCUUCCACCUGUGCCUUAGCUCUCAAUCUCUUCUCUAUCCUUCCCUCUGGCAUAGGCUCUUAGCAAGUCUCCCUAUCAGUUUAUCUUCUGAAUACCCUCCCUGUUAUAGUCCCCCCAAACAGGCAAACAAACAAAAAACAACUAUGAUCCUGUCACAACAUCCUCAUCAAUAAACAGCUCCAUAGCCCCCACAGUAUGAAGUCCAAACUUGCUAGUGGACAGUACCCUUCAGAACUUAUUUGCAGCUUGCCUCUUUACCUUUAUCUUAUGUCACCUUCCCAUACUACCAGAUCCUCUGAAUCAGCCAUGCCAUUUCAUAGCUCUGUGCCUUUGCACACGCUGUUUCUACAUCCUGGAAUUCCCUUCCCCUCUUUUAACAUAGCUGAUGCUUCCUUUCUUGGAAGAAGUACAACCAGAAUGCUCUGUAGAAGCAAGGGUGGCAAGACUAUAUCUUACGUACUUUGGCUAUGUUGUCAGUAGAGAUCAGUCUCUGGAGAAGGAAAUCACACUUGGUAAAGUACAGGGUCAAUGAAAAAAAGGAAGACCCUUAAUGACAUGCAUUGACACAGUGGCUACAACAAUGGGCUCAAGCAUAACAACGUUUGUGGGCAUAACAUAGGACCGGGCAGUGUUUCAUUCUAUUAUACACAGGGUCGUUAUGAGUUGAAACUGACUGGAUGGCAUGUAACAACAACGCUUCCUUAA
This is a long non-coding RNA of Loxodonta africana (African savanna elephant), 3772 nucleotides long. RefSeq lists it as uncharacterized. The transcript is spliced from 2 exons. The record is from RefSeq and is a predicted model, not a curated record. Lineage: Eukaryota; Metazoa; Chordata; Mammalia; Proboscidea; Elephantidae.